AUGAAGAUUGUAAAGCUGGAAGCUCUGCAGCACAAGUGUCUGUACAGAGUCCUGGAUCUCUACAGCCACCUCCAGGCCAGGGCUUGCCCAGAAGGUGUGAGCAGCAUCCUGAGCAGGUUCAGCUGCCAAAAUGCAGGUGAAGAAGUGGCCCGAGAGGUUGCUGAGAGCAGAGAGCAGCAGCAAGCAGCCAGAGCAGUGGAUUUCCUCCAGGAGCACCAUCGCGAGGGGAAUUUGCUGAAGGGGUUAAACGCAGAGGCUGAGGCUGAGCUGAGGAAAAUGCAGGCACAGUUCAGGCUGGAGCUUCAAAGCCAGACAGAGGAAAAGCUGAAAGCCAAAGAAACAAAAGUGAUCCAGGAGACCAAAGGACAGAAAUUUGGAGAUCUUGUGGUUUAUUCCCUCCUCUCACAGAGGCAGCUCAGGCACAGGGUGACUUUGCUCCAGGAUUGUCACAGGCUCAGGAACGCUGCCCUGAAAUCCCUAAAGGAGGGCACAGGCCUGGAACACCUCUUGGAAGUAAAAUUCUCUUUUUAUUUUUGCUUUAAAAUUCUCCAAGUUUGGUUUAGAACCUGGACUGUGCUGCUGCAAAGAUUUACAAACACUCAGGAAUUGUGUCUGUUUAGAGAAAUGUGUCUAGAAAUGAAGCUAAGUUCAG
This 652-nucleotide long non-coding RNA is filed under the name Cyanistes caeruleus (blue tit). RNAcentral describes it as "lncRNA (ENSCCEG00000005639.1)". The record is from RNAcentral. Lineage: Eukaryota; Metazoa; Chordata; Aves; Passeriformes; Paridae.